Non-coding RNA from Coccidioides immitis RMSCC 2394, 73 nucleotides. The record is from Rfam. Lineage: Eukaryota; Fungi; Ascomycota; Eurotiomycetes; Onygenales; Onygenaceae.
GCCUGGUUAGCUCAAUCGGUAGAGCGUGAGACUCUUAAUCUCAAGGCUGCGGGUUCGAGCCCCGCAUCGGGCU